CUUUCUCACUCUAAGAAUACACGAUAAGUAGUAAAAAAAAGUACCUAUGAUCACUAGUUGAUCUGAUUGGUACAAGAUUGAGAGCAAAAGACAAAUGCAAAGAAUAAGCGUUUAAGUGCAGACAAGUGCAGUGAAGCUUUUCUGGUUUUUCUACUUUCUAUAGCUCAAAUCUCAUUCAAGGCUUCUAAAAACUUAUUUUUAAUUGUUGGAAGACCCUUUUAUACUUGGAGAUACAACUCUGAUGGCAGUUUGGCAGUUUAUAUCCGUUGGAAACAGUUGAGGAUGAGUUCUAGCCGUUAAUCUGUCUUGUAGUGCUCUAGUUCAAAUUGCAGACAGAGAGCUCUUAGUCGACUAACUUGGUUGACUAAGUUGGUUCUGUUUUUAGUUUACAGAUUCUGGCAGAAAGCACUUAGUCGACUAACUUGGUCGACUAAACUGAUUCUGUUUCUUAAACUCUUCAACCCACCAUUUCUCCAAUUUGAAAUUUGGUCAACCAAUGUUCUUCCUUGUUGCUCAGCUACAUCUUGUUGAUUUUAUCCCUCUUUCUCUUUCAAAAAUACUCUUUGAAGAGUUAAUAAAUUAAUUUCAUAUAUUAAUUUCCUGCACACUUAAGUAAAGGAAUUAAACACAAAUAAAUGGAACGUUUUAUUAUCAUCAAAACUAAUGGAGCCAACAUAUUGAUUAUGCAUCUUUAUGCAAAAUCUUAAGUUUUAGAUUCCAAUGUAACUAAGUGAUACUAAUGAAACUCUUUCCUUAGUGUCAUCAUGCUCCCACUAAAUCCAAGAUUCUCUGUGAGAGUAAUAUUCAAACUAUUUUGAAUAUUCAUGAAGUUACAUACACAUCUCAACGUAUGCUUAAAAUCCUAUUGGUUUGGAAUGUCAUAAUGGGUUUUAUGUAUUAAAGAGGUAUGGACCAAAUCAUAUCACUAUAUGAAUUUGCUUUCAUCCUUAAACAAACAUCUUUGUAUUCUAUUCAUAAGAAAGUUACAUUUUAUAUGAAUCUAUAUUCAUCUCUCGAACAAUCAACUACAAGUAAGAGUAGUCUUCACUAAGAUCAUAUCUUAAUAAGAGUACGUUAUACUAUGUAGUUCAUAUGAUCUUAUAUUAGAAUUCUCUGAACAUUUCAAACAAUCCAAAUUAUACUUCUUUAAGUAUACAAGACAAUCUUAAUUUGGUCUUGUGUAAACUUAAUGAAUUAGGAAUAUUUCCCAUGGCAUUUUAUGUUUAAUGGUUCACAUACAUUUUUAUAUGUAUAAAACCUUUAAAACAUACCAAGUCAUUCACUUUUACACGAAAAGAAAUUCAGUCAUGUAGACAAGAAUUACUAGCUCCUUUGUGAUUCCAAAUCAAAAGGAUCUAAGUAUCUUCAUACUUUAAUUUGUACUUUAAUGACCAAGACUCCAAUGACAUAAUCGAGACCAUAUGCGAUCAGUUUUCUUGACAUUUAUAUUGAGCAUUGAUUUACUACUAUUGUAGAGUGCUUUAUGUCAUUACUCAAAUGCAUCCCACAUCUAGUAUUGAAUACUUAUGAUGUUGGUACAAUAGCACCAACUACUAGCUUAAUCAUAAAGUUGGUUAAAGUAGAAACUUCUAUAAGUUUCUUCUUCUUUAACUCUAUCAAGGAAACAUCUUUAGUUUGUCCAUCUUUACCACAAAGGUACUUGAGAAUACCUCCCAAGCUUGUGUCCUUACUGUAGUUGUCUUUCAUAUUCAAUAAUUAAACGUAAUAAAACUCCCAUCAAAUGGAAAUUCAUUCCUAAUUAUGAAUAGAUUUGGUAAAGACUAUAGAACCAAGUCAAAAUUUAGUUCAUUACUCAUGACAAAAUUUCAUUGCUCUAGCUUUGCUAUAAAGCCUAACAACCUUAAAUCAUGGUUCUAACAAGGCUAUCUUUUGUCUUUUCCUCAUAGAAACAAUUUCUAUGAGAUCUCAUGCCUUUACGUAUGACCUUACUUAUAAAACAAUUCUUUUUUCUUGCAAAGCCAUACAUUUAGAUGACAUGUUCUUAUGUUGCUUUUGAAGCUUUGAAGUCAUAAUAGCCAAUAUCAUAUAUGUGGCUUAAUAAGUCUAAUGAGCAUCCCAUUCUUCAUUUCCAUUAACCUCAACAUGGGCUUAUGGCAAAGCUUACUAUAAAUAGACAACCUUUUGCUUGAAAACAAUUCUCAAUUCUUAGUAACAUUCCAAUAGGUUUGGUCUAGUGGUUUUGCUUUGCAUCUAAGAUGCUCUAAAGUGACAGGUUGUUAGACAUAGCAAUGUAUAUAAAUAAGCCUAAAUAAAUAAGCUAUUGGUAAGUAUCAUGCAUAAACUAUUUAAAACAACGUUUUAACAUUUUAAAUAGUCUCUCACUAGUUUAUAUGUAAAAUGACAACACUCAAAUUCAUUUUGGAAAGUCCUUACUUAGAUCUUUCUAGGGGCCGGACCUUUUUCAACUUAUUGCAACUUUGAAUGACUCAACAAACCACAAUAAGCGUAAUAGGGUAGAUAACAUAGCUUAUCAAUUGCAUCUCAAUGCAACUCCUAGAUCAGUUAUGUAGUACCCUGUAUUUUGAUACUGUAGCUAAUAAAGUUUACAGAUGCCAAUUGAGGUUGAUUACUGAGUUAAAAAGGGUGAUUCAAAAGUGAACUUGUGAAAUCUCGAUCUCCAUAGGCACAUAACUAGAAGUAGACGCGAUAAUGCGAACUAGGGGUAAUAUCAUCAUUUCUCUUGGUGAGCCCCUAAAAGUAGUUUUCUAAUGUUAUUAAGGUCCAAGUAGGCCUAAGGAAUAGUUUGGGAUAAAAUAUUCUACAUGCGAGAAAAUAAUAAUAAAAUAAUAAUAUUUUUAUCAGAGAAGAAUUUGCAGAAUAAAAAGUGAUUUGAAAGUCAAUUGAGGCAUAAAAAGGUAUUUUGGGUGCCAAGGAGACAAUAAGAGACGAGAAAAUUUUUGAAAUAAAAUAAUAUUAAAAUAUUAAUAUUUUAUUCAGUGUCAAAAUUUUUCAUGAAGGAGUAUAUGGUCAAUCUAAGUGGGGGAGAAGAAGAAUGAAAGAAUUUUGGAGAAAAAUGACGUUAAUGGGGCCGCGUGUCUUUAUUAAGUAAAGAUAGCUCGGGCAAAUAAAUAUUUUAAAUAUUAUGGGGACCUUGCGUUGGAGUACAAACUUCAUACUUUCUUUGUACAUGUGCAGAAGAAGGUAAUAGAAGGAAAUUGGAGUUAAAUGAGUGUUGGGAGGACUAAAUUAAAAUGGAAGGAAACAAAAAGUGUAAAAUGGUCAUUUUGCACCCUAAGUAAAAAUUUUAAGUUUUUGUAAACUUGAGUAGUUUAGAUCAUUGUGGACCUUGUCCCAGUGUCAAAAGAAUAAAAAGAUUGCACAAAGGAUUGGAGACAAACAAGUUAACUUGCUAAAGAGCAUUUUUGUAAUUUCCAAGGGAAUUCGAUAAGUUUGAGCUAUAAAUAUCUUUUUCUUCCAGCAGCUUCUUCUUCUUCCUCCUUCCAUCUCACGUUUGUUUCCCCCUCCAUGGAAGCAUGGUAUGAAAACUUCAUAACUUUCUCUCUCUAGCUCUAAUUUUCAUGCCUUUGUGCACCUUUUCAUGGAACCCUUGUGCUCUUUCACUCUUUUACUUCAAAACCCUUGAAAAAAAAUCCCACUUUCAUACUUUCUUUCACUAGCUAGGUGUUUAGAGAGAGAAGGAAAGAGAAAGCUCCCAUAGUAGCUUGGACAAUUUAUUGGAAAGAAUUUCAAAGUUACAAGCUACCAAGGUGAGUAGUGAAUUAGAAUUUAUUUUUUUGUGUUGGGAAUGAUUAGUAAGUGGACUUGUGAAUGUUGUAGUUGAGGUUAUCCACUCAUUUUAGAGUGAUUAGGGUAGUAAAGAUNAGAAUAGAUAGCCAUUUAAUGGCAAUUGGUAGCUAGUUAAGAGAAAGCUUUAGACUUUAUAAUUAUGUGAAUUGACAAAUUGGUGACGCUAAUGUGAUGAUAGGUUCCAAAGAAGCCCCAUCAUCCCAUUUGGACAAUUAGGGAAGUUAGAGUUGACUAAAGGUUCAACAAGAUACUGGUGAGUGAAUUGCAUUUCAAAAUCGUUUUGGAAAAUAUAAUUGUGUUUUGUAUGAAACAUUUAAAUGAUUUAUCCAGCUUUUCUUAAAAAAUGUAACAUAGGAACAAGCCUUUGGUGAGGUGUUUUUAUCUUGUGAAAAUGUGAUAUAUAAAUGGUUUAUAUGUUAUCACAAUAUGAUGAUAUGUAUAAUAUGCAUUGGGUGUUUCUUUUGUAUGUUAAUGUGGACCUCGCUAUGUGCAAGUAAGAGUGCACAUAUGUCGAUGAUGACUCGACUAUAUGCUAGUAGGAGUGCACAUACGCCUAUGAUGACCUAGUUAUGUGCGAGUCGGAGUGUGCAUAAGCCGUUGAUGACCCAACUAUGUGCGAGUGGGAGUGCACAUAAGCCGAUGAUGACCCGGCUAUAUGCGACGCAUAAGCCGAUGAUGACCCAGCCAUGUGCGAGUGGGGAGUGCACAUAAGCUGAUGAUGAUGGGAGAGUGUACAUGAUGAUGAAUGAAGUGGGGGUGGUGUACUUGUUGAUAUAUGUUUAUAUAUGUAUAUGGGAUAGCAAGUUUAUGAUUAUAACAUGUGAUUGUUUUAAAUGUUGAUAACUUGAUUAUUGUCAAUGUGUUCACUUUGAUGUGCAAUAUGUUAGGGAUGGAUUUUGUGGCAAGUUAAAACCCUUUAAUUGUCAUCUGCCCUGAAUCUCGCUACAACUAGAAUGCAUUCUCACUGUAGUGAGAAACUCUCGAGUUCUAGUAUAGUGCUUUCAAUUCGAUGAAGAUUUUGACCACCUUCCCAUCCGAACUGGGAAAGGUGGUCAACAUUAAAGUUGUAACUCUACCUCUUAGCUUUAUAAUAGUCCAAAAAUCAGGUCAAUUGGACUUCUGUAACGGGAGAUAUGAUUAAAAAACUGAAACACAUGCAAACUGAUACUAUUUCUUGCUACAGUGAGAAACUCUCUGUUUUGGCCGCUUGAAUCUCGCUGCAACGAGAAACUUGCUGCCAUGCUUGCUACCUUGCUUGAUUUUGACAUAUUUUUCACCCAUUUAACUACAUGGAUUGAUCUUGGGUUUUUGCAACACUAUGAGGUUAUUGAUCAAAGUUUGAAAUAAGGGGUUUUUAGUAAGAAAUUGAAUCAAUUGCAUCGUUUUUGAAACAAGUGCAUCAUGAUUUCCAAAUUCUUCCUAUCGAUUGCUUGUUCCCUUAUUAUGUUCACUCAUUGAGUUUUAUACUCAAGUUUUUAAAUUUCAUGUUUUCAGAUUUGUAGGCAAUUGGGACCUAGAUUGAGUCGCACACAUAUGCUCAUCUUCUUGGUAGGUACAAUGGCAUUUCAGUAGCUGUAUCUUCACCCAGAGUCACUCCGCUAAUGGUCUCGAGUCUAUUACUUGUGAACAUGUAUAUGUAAUGUAAACUACUAAGAGUCAUGUUAUAAAUGAAGUAUGUAUAUGUUGGAUUGAUAAUGACAGUACUUUGAUAUAAUAUAAAUGUGAAUAUUCAGUUGUUAUAAAAUAUUACUGGAACAUUUACUUUUGAGAGUUACAGCACUUCAUUUUAAAGAUGAUGGAUGGGAAUGAUAAUCGGAAUUGCAUAAAGAGGCUUGCUUGGGCUUAAUGGGCUAUGCCCAUUGGGCCCAUGUGCCGAUCAUGGCCCGAGAAUUUGGCCUAUGACAAAGUUGGUAUCAGAGCCAGGUUUAGUCAAGUCUUAAGGAUUUUCGUGUCAGGCAGCUGAUUUGUCGGAGUUAAUGUAGAGUCUUGUCUAUGGUUUGUGAUUGCAACACAAGUCAUAGACAGGAAGCUAUAUGAACUCCUAUUCCUAGUAACCUACCCUUUUGCUAUCGUCAUGUCAAGGGCAUAAAUGGUAUCGCUUCUCGGGUUUGAGAUGCCACCCGAGACACAAACCAUUAUUGGAAAGAUUUUAAGCAAAUGCUCCUAAUGAAAGGUCAAUAUAAUGAUAUAUUCCUCCGACUAAGGAUAGAGGAAGGUGGAGUUGGACUGUUAGGUCUGUAAUAAUUUAUUCAUUUGGUAGAAUUAUGAUUCGAACCCAUGGUUAUCAAAAAACAAAUUAAUUAAAAAUUUGGAGACUAUGGAUUGUAUUUGAGGUCAAUAUAGGGAAAGACGUACGAUAAUGGUAAUAAGAGCAGUAUUUGACUGGAAUAAAUAGUGAAUGUUAUGACUUACUUGAGGUUUAUAAAUUUAAAUAUCGAGGAAAGUGUAAACCAACGUUUAUGUGCACGGAGGUAAGUGCACUAUGUUAAUUGAGCUUGACAUGCCCUUAUAGAAAUGGUGUGGGCUUUAGAAAUAUUUUAUAAGCGUAUAAGUGUUGAAUAUGUGUAUAGUAGCUUAAAUGGAGUUAGUUUUGAUUUCAAGUGAUUGCGAGAUUCCAAGGCUUGAAUUGAAUUAUUGUGGUUUAUGGUUAUAAUUGCAUGAAUUAGCUCAAGGGUGAAAAUCACGAAUUAUUAUAAUUGAUGUAUGGUCAUGAAGUAAAAGGCUAGUAAAUGAUCUACUCUAAGGAUGAGCUUGAAUUUUGCUAUGCUUAGUGUAGAGCCAAAGGAUUAAAGGACUAGAUGUGGAUUUAGCAGUUUGAAAUUAAAUGACAUGGAAAUGACAAAUUUAGUCUAAGUGCCAUAUGGAGUUCUAUAUGAAGGUCGAUAUAUGAAUUGCUUUAAAGGUCAAUUUAAAAAUAUGUUUGGUUCAAUAUGCAAUCUAUGAUGUAAAUGAUUAGUCUUGAAUGUGACUUCUCCAAAGGUAAAGGACUUAAAACAUGUGGAUUUUCGAAUAUGCUCUAAGAGGAAGUUUCUGCAUCCUAAGCUUAAGAAAUUUUGAUAUUAUGACUGCAAAGGCAAGAUACAAAAAUUACGUGAAUUGUUUAUCUUAUGGAUGUAAUUGGUUAAGAAUUAAUGAGUAAAGUCAAGAUCUUAACACUAAGUGGUGUACAAUUUAAUAUAUGUGUACCUAAGAGUAAAUUUGGAGAUCAUUGCUUAAUCAAUUUGCACUGGAUGUUGUGGUAAAGGUAUAUGAAUGUUAGUAAUGAAGUAUGUCCAAAGUGAGAUAUGUGGAGACUAAUGUUCUGAUCGCAAACUUGUGAUAGAAAGCUAGUUUUGCAAAUUGUGGUUUCCAUGAUCAUAAAAUAUAUGGAGGUUACCAAUAUGUAAGCAUACACUCGAAGUUGUAUAUCUUGUGAUUCACAUUCAUUGUAUGGAAGGAGAUAUUCCAUAGAAGGAUUUGGCCUAAUUGGUGAUUACAUGACUAUAGGCUUGGUAUGAGAUUAAGAAUGCCUUAAAAUGUAUGAAAAGUGUGUUGCGAAAGGCUGAAAGUCAUUAAGACGAAUGAUGGGUGAAACAUAGGUGUUGUUAGGAUGAGCAAAAAAAGCUCAAGGAUAAUCAAUGCAAUUAUAUUAAGUUAGUUUGGUUUGGUCCGAAACAAAAGUAAGGACAUCUUGAAAGAUCUUAAAAUAAUGUUCAAUGGGGUUAAUGAGCUAAAUGUUAUCGAAUAUAUAUUAAAUUGUUAAAGUUAUGCAUGGCUUUGAAGAUAAGCCUUUGAUUGUCUGAGUCCUCAACAAAAUUCUAUUAAAGGAUGUGUUUAAGUAUUUUGAAAGUAUAUUAGAAAACAUAAGAAUAAUAUAUUUGUUUGACUUGCUAUAAGAGGUCGAAUUUGGAUGGCCAUGAGUGGCUUGUGAACAAUCAAGCAGUGUAAAGUUUGUGCUCAUAAAGGGAGCUAUGAUUGGUAGAUAAAGGUGGAACUUUAGAAUUUCAUUGUCAUAGUUACUAGAUUAUAUUUUGUAUUAUAUGAUAUAGCGUAGAACAUCAAUGAUGAGGUUGUGUUCAAUGCUUUAGGCCUUGAACUGUAAGAUAUGGACAUGUAUCCACCUUAUGAAUACCCUGAUGAGAUAAAUUCGAAAGAUUUUUCACAAUGAAAAAACAUUAAAGCUUAAAGAGCAAAUGACUACAUAGUCAAGUUGGGCUCAUGACUGAUAUGUCACAUAAGUAUGAAGAUAUGACACAAGCAUAAAUAUUCUUGGAAAUGUUGGUUUGCGGCAAUGAUUAUCCAACCAUUUUGUGAGCCCGAUGAGGUUCUGGUCUCGACAUAAUUGUAGACGCAAGGCAUAAAUUGUGAAAUGUGCUUCCCCCACAAGUUCCAAUUUAUUUGACUAAUUAUUAAGGUAAAAUGCUUGGUAAAGGUAGGCAAAGGUUGAAUUGUGUUUCAAAUGUUUAGAGAAUGAGGGUGACACGAGUUGAUUAAACGAUACUACUACUGGUGAGGGAAUAGAAAUACACUACGGGAAUUGCAGAGAUCUACUUAGGAAAAAAAGAUGAUGAUUUGAGAAUUCAAGUACUCGUGUACGAGUAAAGAUUUGGCAUUGAGACAUGACCUAGAGUUGGAAUACUACAAUAUGAAUUUUGACUAAAAAAAUCAACUUAUAAAUCACAUGGUGUUUGGAGAUGGUGCAAAUUAGUGGUUGACUCUUGUAUGAGAAUGGAAUAUUGAAAUCAACUUUGUGUAUUCACCACAAAUGAUGAGCAUGAUCUAACCAACUAAGAGAAGAAAUGACUCUAAACUUGAUUGUUGGUUAUUUUGGUUUUAUAGAUGGCUUAUUGAGGUUGAUAUGCCUAAGGCUAUUCGAAGUUAAAAUUUUUGGAAAUAUAUAUAUAUGUAUGGCUAUAUAUGUUGCAUAUUGGUAUAAAAGCUCAUGUGGAGUUAGUUAUAAUUUGAUUCGAUGAUGACAAUCUAUCAAUGGUUAUAGUGCUAGACAAUGAUUAAGAUAAUUUAUCACUGAUUUUGGCAGUGAACAAGUGGAUUAUAAUGCUGUUAGCUUUAAAGUAAGUGUUUAUACUUUUGGUAUGAGUUCAUCAAAUUCUAUUAUAUUGUAAUCAAACUUGGUGUUUUGUUAUAGCCUGAGAGGCUUGGCAUAUGACCUAGCUUAACUAUGAGCUAGAAAUUGUUAGGUUAUCAUGAAGUACACAAAUAGGGAAGUAUGACAUGAACUUAAUAUCCUAAGGGGCAAUGGAAAAUGAUGUAUCAGUUUUGGUGUAGCUUCAACAUAUACAGUUUUGAUAAAUAAAGAUGUGGGGAAAAUUUUGAGCAAACUUUAAUCUUGAAAGGUUGAGUUAUUGAUUAAAGAGAUUGGUUAAGAUUACAAGGGGGUAUGUGGAAUGUCAUGAUUUAUUGAAAUGCCUUGUGGUAUAAGUUCAGAUUUAUCUAGUGAACACUCGAUCAUGAAAGUACUAGAGUUUGUUUUUGGGAAUAUGAUGACUAAUGGUUACUAGAUUUGAAUCAUCUUUGAUAAAAAAAAAAGAUGAAAUGAAUAAAGAGAGUUUGAUCCCUAUGUAUUGUGAAAUGCUUAAAUGGAAUUUGCAUGGGAGAAUGAAAAAUGAAAUAGAGAUUGGUUCACAAAUUAAACCCAUAGUCAAUGGUGGAACAGAUGCUUGAAUAUUGGAAGGUUUGAUAAAGGAGCAAGGCAGAGGAGUUGUGGAUGGUUAAGUAAACAUGCAUAAUUCAUGAUUUAAGGAUGAUUUGAUUGAGGUGUGACCAGAAUUAAUAGCUUAUUUGAAUUCUCUUCAAAAGAUAAAGAAUGAUAUUGUUUUGAUCCAACAAGAGCGGCAAAUAUAACAAUAUACUAUAACAUUGUCGAGUUUUCUAUAAGAUUGGAAGUCGAUAUGAUGCAUAAACCAAGAUGCUAUGUUAAGAAUGCCUAACGAAAGCAAUGUGGCAGAACUUUAGAACUUCGAUUAUUCACCCUACGCUAAUUUGAAUUCGAGUAUGAAUUCAUUUUAAGUGGGGGAGAUUGUAGUAUCCUGUAUUUUGAUACGGUAGCUAAUAAAGUUUACGGAUGCCAAUUGAGGUUGAUUACUGAGUUAAAAAGGGUAAUUCAGAAGUGAACUUCUGAAAUCUCGAUCUCCAUAAGCACAUAACUAGAAGUAGACGCAAUAAUGCGGACCAGGGGUAAUAUCUUCAUUUCUCUUGGUGAGCCCCUAAAAGUAGUUUUCUAAUGUUAUUAAGGUCCAAGUAGGCCUAAGGAAUAGUUCGGGAUAAAAUAUUCCACAUGCGAGAAAAUAAUAAUAUUUUUAUCAGAAAAGAAUUUGCAGAAUAAAAAGUGAUUCGGAAGUCAAUUAAGGCAUAAAAUGGUAUUUUGGGUGCCAAAGAGACAAGAGAAAAAUUUUGGAAUAAAAUAAUAUUUUAUUAAUAAAAUAAUAUUAAAAUAUUAAUAUUUUAUUCAGUGUCAAAAUUUUUCAUGAAGAAGGAGUAUAUGGUCAAUCUAAGUGGGGGAGAAGAAGAAUGAGAGAAUUUUGGAAAAAAAUGACGUUAAUGGGGCCGCGUGUCUUUAUUAAGUAAAGAUAGCGUGAGCAAAUAAAUAUUUUAAAUAUUAUGGGGACAACACGUUGGAAUACAAACUUCAUACUUUGUUUGUACAUGUGUAGAAGAAGGUAAUAGAAUGAAAUUGGAGUUAAAUGAAUGUUGGGAGGACUAAAUUAAAACAGAAAGAAACAAAAAGGGUAAAAUGGUCAUUUUGCACCCCGAGUCAAAAUUUUAAGUUUUUGUAAACUCGAGUAGUUUAGAUCAUUGUGGACCUUGUCCCAAUGUCAAAAGAAUAAAAAGAUUGCACAAAGAAUUGGAGAAGAACAACUUGCUAAAAGGCAUUUUCGUAAUUUUUAAGAGAAUUCGAUAAGUUUGAGCUAUAAAUAUCUUCUCUUUCCAGCAGCUUCUUCUUCUUCCUCCUUCCAUCUCACGUUUGUUUCCCCCUCCAUGGAAGCAUGGUAUGAAAAAUUCAUAACUUUCUCUCUCUAGCUCCAAUUUUCAUGCCUUUGUGCACCUUUUCAUGGAACCUUGUGCUCUUUCACUCUUUUACUUCAAAACCCUUGAAAAAAAUCCCACUUUCAUACUUUCUCUCACUAGCUAGGUGUUUAGAGAGAGAAAGAGAUAGAAAGCUCCCAUAAUAGCUUGGAAAAUUUAUUGGAAAGAAUUUCAAAGUUACAAGCUACCAAGGUGAGUAAUGAAUUAGAAUUUAUUUUUAUGUGUUGGGAAUGAUUAGUAAGUAGACUUGUGAAUGUUGUAGUUAAGGUUAUCCACUCAUUUUAGAGUGAUUAGGGUAGUGAAGAUAGAUAGCCAUUUAAAUGGCAAUUGGAAGCUAGCUAAGAGAAAGCUUUAGACUUUAUAAGUAUGUGAAUUGACAAAUUACAUUGUUUUGAAAAAUGAAUGCAUCAUGAUUUUGUUAAACAUUCCUUAUGGUAUGCUUGUUCCCUUUCUUGUUCACUCAUUGGGUUUAUACUCACCGUUUUCAACUUCAUGUUUUCAGAUCAAGAGGCAGCCAAUAAUUAGGUCAAGGUGCCCUUGUAGAUUCGUUUCCUUGGUAGGUAUCUCGGCAGUCAAUAGCCAUACAUCACUCGGGUCUCUCCGCUGGAAAUCGAGUCUUCCUUUUUAGAUGUAUAAAACAAACUUGAUGUAAAUUAUUAAGAUACCUGUUGUAGACAAUGUACACUUGAUUGGUAUGCCAGUAUGAGUUGGCAAUGUUUAGUUUCAUUUUGAUUCAAAGUUAUGAAAUGAGACUCAUAAGCUUUUGAUGGAAUGAUGAACAUGUCAGAUGAAUAGGCUUGCUUGGGCUUAGUGGAUUAUGUCAAGUCGGUCCAUGCACCGGUCAUGGCCCGAAAUUUGGGUCGUGACAGUACCCGGACCUUAUUUCAAAAAUUUUCAUAAAUAAAAUUUUAACCAAACAUCCACAAUCAUAUUAGAUCUAUAGUCCAUAACCAUCGUUAUACAUCCACAAUCUAGUAUGAACAUACAAAGUAAACAUGCUUAAUAUGUUGAUGACCUUGCAUUUCAUUUGAAAAUGUCACUCAACUGAGAAGAAUUAUAGUUCAAAUCAUUUGAUGCUUAGGUUUGAAAAGAUUUAGUAAUUAUAGACAAUAAUUUUUCAAAAUUACUUAGUAAAGGAAUUGAUCGCAUCAAGGCCUUUAGCUAUCUCAAAUCAUAUUUGAGUUAACUAAAUUAGUAAGUUCUUUCUAAUUAAACUCCUUUAAUUAGAAACCUAAACCAUUUUAGGAAACUUCCUAAUUUGAUUAUCUAUCUUAAACCAUUUAGGAAGGUUUCAUGACCCUAAUCAUGUAUCCUAUACAUUUUAGGAAACUUCUAAAUAUGUCCUAAUCAUUUGAGGAAACUUUCCAUAUUUAGCCAAAACACUUUAGGAAACUUUCUAAAUCCAGAAACUCAUCCUAAAUAUUUUAGGAAGGUCUUUAUCCAGUUUAUAAUCUUGCAUUAUCCAUUUACUAAUUUUAGAGCUCUAAUCAUUUUUAGAAGUCUUAGUUCAUUAGUAAAUGUUCCUUAAUUAAAAAGCUUUCCUGAUCAAAUUAAGAUGUCAUCUUCACAAAUUGACUUGCCAUUUUCAUUAAGCUUAUAUAAUUUAGUUAGAUGUUAACAAAUUUAAAUUACAAUCCCUUGAUUUAAGGAGUCCUCAUCCAAAUGAGGAAGACUUAAUUGAUUUGAAUAUUUGAUCUAUAUCAAAUUGUUGAUUAAAAUCAAUCAAGGAUCAUAUUCAUGAUUUUAGGUGCACAUCCCUAGCAUUUAGGGAUUCAAUGAUUAGCCAAGCAAAGAAUUCUUGCUAACCAUUGCUUGUGCCUUGCAUGACAACUUGCCACCUAACCAAGGGUUGGUGGCCACCACGCUAAUGGCAAUUCAAGCCACCUUGUGUGGCAACCCUUAGAGCAACCUUUGCUAUUUGGUAAUCGCAGCACUAGGUGAAAAAGCUUCCAAAAUUUCAGCAUUUUUUAGCAGCCUUUAAAAUUGACUUUCUACCUAUUUCCAACCUCACACAUGAACAAUUUCAUGGUGGAAUCAAUUCAAGAAUUUUUCAAAAUUAAUGCAAAAUAAGUUUACACUAAUAGAGCCGAAACACAUGUUGAAAUUUUUUAGCAGGUAGAUUCAAUUCAGUUUCUUAAAUCAUGAACAAUUCGUGAUUUUGUUGUCCACAUAUCCAACAAUUAUGUUGGCCCCUAGGUGUGUGCUAGAGUGGGGGUGAAUAGUACUUUCUAAAUGUCACUAAAGUUAACUUCAAAAUUAGAGCUCGUUAAAAGUAGAUGAUGAAAAGUUGUGAACCAGAUGGAAGAAUGAUUUAAACGAGAAUGAAAUGAAGAAAUAAAAAAGGAUAAACAAUGCACAAAAAUUUAUAGAGGUUCGGUCUCUUUGACCUACAUCCACUACCUUGAUCUUUCAAUCAAUGAUUUUUAAAUCAAUUCACUAGAAUUAAUGGAUUUACCAAGCAUCCACCAAGCUUUUGCAAUGGCUUUUCAUAGGCUCAGCCACAACCUUUCAAUCACGACCCAAAUUCCGGGCCAUGAUCGACGCAUGGGCCCAAUGGACGUAGUCCCCUAAGCCCAAGCAAGCCUAUUUAUAUGAUCUGUCCACCAUUCCAUCAAACGUUACUAAGUACAUUCCAUAACUUUGAAUCAAAAUAAUACUAAGCAUUACCAACUCAUUGUGUCAUACCAAUAAAAAUGUACAUAUAUUGUCUAAACGUGCAAUUUAAUAAUUUACAUCACUUGUACAUAUUUACAACAAAAUGACUAUGGGUUUCCAGUGGAGCAACCACAGUGAAGGUGUAACUACUGAAUGCCAUUGAUACCUACCAAAGAUACGAAUCUACAACGACACCUCGACCUAGCUAUCGGUUGCCUCUUGAUCUGAAAACAUGAAGUUGAAAACGGUGAGUAUAAACCCAGUGAGUGAACAAAAAGGGAACAAGCAAUCAAUAGGAAAUAUUUGAAAAUCAUACUGCACUUGUUUCAAAACAAUGCAAUUUAGUUUUACUCUUAUUAAAACCCCUCCUUAGACCCUUAAAUGGUUAAUCACUUGAUAAUGUUGAAUCCACACAUAACAAAGAAAUUGAAAAAUGAAGGUUUCACUAAUAUAUAAGUAAGUCUAAUGAAAUGACAGGUCCUCGCUACAGCAGAAAGGCAUUUUCGCUGCAACUAUGCUGCAAUGAGAAUGAAUUUUCGCAGCAGCGAAGUUAGGGCUCAAGUUACUAGCUAAACAAGGGUUUCUCUCAAAAUUUCCUCAUUCCAAACUUAGUUAGAUAAUCCCCAAACAUGUUGGAAGUCCACGCUCAACUAGGGUAUAAAUGAAAUGGAAAAACAAAUGGCAAAACCCAUAAUAUAGCAAAAUGGACAGAAGGUUUCUCGCUGCAACGAGUUUUUCUUCGCUAAAACAGAAAGUUUCUCAUUGCAGCGAGAAGCUACAGUAACUUUCUCACUGCAAGGAGAACUAGGUCAAGUGAAGGCCCUCAAACUCGAGAGUUUCUCCCUACAGCAAGAAAUAGAGAACUAAGAAAAAGGUUUCCUUUCUUUCAAGAAAAAGCCAUCCUGCUAAAAUGAAAAAAGUACCAUGAAACACAAACAAUUUCCCAAAGUUCAACAUGCCAAAUUCAUAUGCAUUUCAACCAUAAACCAUAUUCAUGAGUUUUCAUUUUCUAAACAUAUAUACAUAUACAUACAUGGAUAAAUACCAAUACCACUAUCAUCUCAUCCAUUUCAUGUCAUCCCCCCACAUCAUGCACAUAGUCGGAGUCAUCAUGUGCAUCCCCCCACAUCGUGCACAAUCAGUGCCAUCGUGUACAUCUCCUCACAUCGUGCACACGGGCACUAUCAUCAUCUAUCUCCCUCACCACCACCAUUACUGGCAUGUGCAUUCCCCCACAUCGUGCACACACACGGUUGUAAUCAUCACACAAUAUCAACCAUCAUGCACAACAUAUAUAUAUCUAUAUAUAUACCAACAUAAUGUAGUAGUGCAUGAAUCCAUAACAACCGCAUGUCACAACAUAAAAUCAAUUUAUCAAAGGCUUGUUACCAAGGCACUUGUUUUUAAGGAAAGUUGAAUAAAAUCAUUCAAGUAUACUGUGCAAAUAAGUUUACAUUCCCAAAAAAAAAUUUGAAAUGCAAGUUCACUCACUGGUAUUUUGUUAAAUCCUGACUCAACUCCAACUUCCUCUAUUGGUCCAAAUAGGGUGAUGGGGCUUCAUUGGAACCUAUUAUCACAUUAGCAUCACCAUUAAGUCAAUUCACAUACUUAUAAAAUCUAAAAGCUUUCUCUUAGUUAGCUUUCAAAUUGCCAUUUAAGUGGCUAUCUAAGUUCACUAUUCUAAUCACUCUAAAGUGAAUGAACAACCCCAACUACCAAAUCACCCACAAGUCUAAACACUAAUCAUUUUCAACAUAAAAACUCAAUUCUAUUGUACUACUCACCUUGGUAGCUUGUAUUUAAAAUUCUUCCCUACAACUUUCAAGCUAUUAUUAAAGCUUCCUCUUUCUCUUUCUAAAACACCUAAGUAGUGAGAGAGAGUAUGGAAACAAGAUUUUCCAAGGGUUUCAAAGUGAGUGAGUGGAAGAGCAUAAGGGUUUAUGAAAAGAGUGCACCAAGGCAUGAAAAGUGGAGCUAUUUUAAGGGAGGCUAUAGAGGUUCAUAUCAAACUUCCAUGGAGGUUAAAAGUAACAUGAAAGAGAAGAAGAAGAAUGAGAAAAACUGCUAGACUUAAAUUACGAAAAUGCCCCUCCACAAAUUAACUUGUUCUCUUCCAAUCCUUUAUGCAAUCUUUUUACUCUUUUGACACUGGGACAAGGUCCAUAAUGGUCUAGAAAUGUUUGGGUUCAUGAAAACUUAAAAAUUUUGACUCGAGGUGAAAAAUGACUAUUUUGCCCUUACCGUAGAAAUCAUCAUCAUUUUCAUUUCUUUCAUCAUUUUACCCAUAUUUCAUCAUUCAUUUAUGCCUUAGGCCUACUUAGGCCUUAAUAUUGUUUAAAACUUACUUUUAAGGGCUUACUAAAGAAAUGACGAAACUACCCCUAGCCCGUGUUAUUGUGUCCAUUACUAACUAUGAGUCUAUAAAGGUCAAGGUCUCACACUUUUAACAAUAGUUUUUCACUUGACAUAAACUUCUUCUUGAAUAUGGCCAUUUAAAAAUGCACUUUUCACAUCCAUUUGAAAUGGUUUGAAAUUCAUGAAACAUGCAAAUGCAAGUAAUAAUCUUAUGGCUUCUAACCUGGCAAUAGGAGCAAGGGUUUCAUCGUAGUCAAUACUUUCUUCUUGAUUAUAUCCUUAAGCAACUAGCCUAGCUUUGUUUCUAAUUACAUUACCUUGUUCAUCCACCUUGUUUCUAAACACCCACUUUGUACCAACAAUUACGUGAUUGAAUGACCUUUCAAACUGUUCAAGCUCUUCUUACAUGGCCAACAUCCAACUUUCUUCCUUUUUUGCUUCUUCGAAGUUUUCAGUCUCAACUUGUGAAAUGAAGGCUAAGUAUUCACAUGUUUCUUAACUCCUCUUUUUGUUUUUAACUCCUUCUAAAAGAUCACCAAUAAUCUGCUCUUAUGGGUGGUGUUUGACAUAUUUCCAACUCUUUAGAAGAUCAUUAAAUUGGUUUUCAAAUCUUUGUAGAUCUUCUAAAGAUGGAACUUUUGCUUCUCUUUCAUGGGAGUUUUCUUCACUAUUUUUCAUGUUCUCCAAGCUCAUUUUUUCCAUUUGUUUCUCAAGAUCCUCUGCAUCAUCAUCAUCUACAAAAGCUUUCUUUUACACAAUAGUAGUUUCAUAAAAAACUACAUGAAUAGACUUUUCAAUCAUUAAAGUUCUUUUGUUAAAAACUCUAUAUGCUUUUGAAUUUAAUGCAUAUCCUAGAAAAAUUACCUCAUCACUCUUAGCAUCAAAUUUUUCCCAGAGUGUGUUUUCCAUUAUUUAAAACAAAACAUUUACUAUUGAAACUUCAAAAAUAAGAAAUAUUUGGUUUUCUUCAUUUGUAUAAUUCAUUAGGAGUUUUGAUAUCAUGGCCCUUAUUGAAACUCUGUUUAAAAUGUAGGCUGUUGUAUUAACAGCUUCUGCCUAAAAAACUUUGGUAAAUUGUUCUCACAAAGCAUGGUUCGAGCCAUUUCCUUUAAGGUUUGAUUUUUUCUCUUAACAACUCCAUUUUGUUGAGGCGUUCUAGGUGUGGAAAAGUUGUGAUCAAACCCUCUUUUAUUACAAAAAUUUUUAAAUUCAUCUCCUUCAAAAUCACCACCAUGAUCACUUUUAAUGUUGGCAAUGAGAAGUCUUUUUUCAUUUUGAACUUUCUUAUAUUGAGUUGCAAAUGUAGGUAAUGCAUCAUUUUUGUAAGCAAGGAAGUAAACCCAAUUAUAUCUGGAAUAGUCAUCAACUAUCACAAAACCAUAUGAUUUACCUCCUAAGUUGGUUAUGUUAAUUAGACCAAAUAGAUCUAUAUGCAAUAGUUCAAGAGGUCUAGAUGUUGAUAUGAUCUUUUUUGGCUUUGAAUCAUGUUCUAACUUGUUUUCCUAAUUGACAAGCAUCACAAAUCUGAUCUUUUUCAAAUUUAAUUUUAGGCAUUCCAAUAACCAGAUUUUUUUUCUCUAGUUUUGAAAUGGUAUGCAUGCUUGCAUGUCCAAGUCUUCAAUGCCAUAACCAACUAUUAUUUUCAUCAUUUACCAUAAGACAUGUCUCACAAUCUAGCUCAAGAUCUUCGAGAAAUAUAACAUACAUGUUUUUUAUUCUUUUUCCUAUAAAUGCAAUUUUGUUGGUGCUAAUAGAUAAAACUUCACAUUUAUGUGAAUCAAAACAUACUUUAAAGCCUUUGUCACAAUUGACUAAUAUUUACUAGAUUAUGCUUUAAGCCUUUAACAAAUAGAACAUGAUUAAUUUGAGCAUGAGAAUUUUUACCAAUAGUUCCUACACCAUGCCUUUUGAAUCAUCUUUAAAUGAUAUUGUACCACUUUUUUUCUUAUCUAGUUGAGCAAACAGCAUUUCAUUUCCUAUCAUAUGCCCUGAGCAGCCACGAUCCAUGUACCAUAGUUGCUUCCGCUUCAAUUGAGCUUUUAGACAUCUGUCUUCUCGGUUUAGCGCAACCUACAAAACAAAUUUUCAGUCUUUCCUAAUAGGUACCCAUACUUUGAUAGGUCCCUAAAGGUUUGUUGAUACAUGAGAGCCUUUUGGUACCCAAAUCAUUUUUGUUCUUUGUGUGUUUUUUCUUCUUGACAUUCAUAAGAUAGAUGACCUAUUUUGCCACAUACAUAACACCUAGAUGAGAAAACAUGAGAAUUUCUCUUAAAGGUUGUAUUUAUUCUUGAUGCUUCUUUUGUUAAGUCCUUAAGAGCAAUGUUUUCAUCAAUUGCCUUUUGCAAUGCCUCAUUUUUGUUAUCAAGUUCCAAUUUCAAAAUUGCAAAAUCUGUUUUAAAAUGUUCUAGUUGAGUUUGAAGCAAAUUUCUCUGUUCAAACACAGAGUUCAAUUCAUAUUUUAACUUUUCUAAUUCAUUUUCAAGAAACGUAGUCUUUCUUUUUAGGACCUUAUAUUUUAGUGCAAGUUUUUCAAACUCAUCAUAUAAGCAUUCAUAUUCUUCUUGAAAUUCAUCAAUUGAAAUAUCACAAAGGGUAGAGAAUACCUUGGAUUUAUCAUCUUUGGCCAUUAGGCAUAGGUUUGCUCUAUCUUCCACUUUCUUUUCAUCAACUUCUGAACUUGAUGUAUCACUAUCAAACCAGGUUGCAACCACUAUAGCCUUUUGUGAUUUUUUGUUUUUCUUAGGAGUUUCCUCCUUCAGUAAUAGGCAUUUUGAUCUGAAGUGUCUAGGUUUCUUACACUUAAAACAUAUAAUAUCAUUUUUAUUGUUAGAUUCAUUUUUGUUUCUGACCUUCCAUGAGGAACCUUGAUCUCUUCUAUAGCUUUUCUUAGCAAGUCUUCUAUUUCUUUGUCCCAUAAGUUGUCUAAACCUUACAACUACCAUGGCCAACUCUUCAUCAUCAUCACAUGAUAGAUUCUCUAACUCUUCUUUAAGAGUGCUUACUUUCAAAGCAAUAUUUUUCUUCCUUUCUUUGGCUUCUCUCUUAUCUUCUUCUUCUUUAAGCUCUAGCUCAUGAGUGGAAAAAGAGCGACAAAUUUCAUUAAGAAUGACGACAUUCAAAUCUUUAGCCUCUUGAAUAACAAUCACUUUUGGCUUCCAAUUCUUAGGUAAGCUUCUAAGAAGCCUUUUGAUAAGUUCAUGUUCAAGAAUUGGCUUACUUAACAGACUAAGUUUGUUGGUGAUGUUAGCAAACCUAUCAAACAUGCUAGUGAUAUCUUCACCGGGUUUCAUCUUGAACAUUUCAUAGUUGUGGGUUAGGAAAGCAAUUUUGGACUCCUUGACUUAUGAAGUCCCUUCAUAAUUGAUUCUUAAUUUGUCCCAAACUUGUUUGGCAGUAUGCAACUUGACACUUUGUUAAAUUCUGUGGGAGUCAAGGCAAAAUGUAAAUUAUUAAUUGCCUUAAAAUUUGUUUAGACCAUUUUUAUUUCAGCUUCAGUCCAUUCAGCUCACAGCUUAGGAAUCCUUUCACUAGUCACAACAUUUUUGGUCGAAGGGAUAUAAGGUCCGUUAGUGAUAACAUCCCACAUUUCAUAAUCUAUUGCUCUUAUGUAAAUAAAUAUUCUAGUGCUCCAAUAGAGAUAUUUUGAUCCAUCAAACAGAGGUGGUCUAUUUAUGGACUGUCCCUCAGCAACAACAUAGUUUUUAAGAGCCAUUUAGAUCUUCCUUAAGAAUGUUAAGCCUUAAAAAUGAAGGUUAAGCUUUAUAUCACUUGUUGGUCCCUAGGUGUGUGCUAAAAGGGGGUGAAUAACACUUUCUAAAUGUCAAUAAAGUUAACUUCAAAUUUAGAGCUUGUUAAAAGUAAAUGAUGAAACGUUGAGAACUAGAUGGAAGAAUGAUUAAAAGAAGAAUGAAAUGAAGAAAUAAAAAAGGGUAGACAAUGCACAAAACUUUGUAGUGGUUCAGCCUCUUUGACCUAUAUCCACUACCGUGAUCUUCCAAUCAAGGAUUUUUAGAUCAAUUCACUAGAAUCAGUGGAUUUCCCAAGCAUCCAUCAAGCUUUUACAAUGGCUUUUCACUGGCUCAGCCAUAACCUUUCAACAAUGGUUUUUCACGGGAUCAACCAAAAUCUAAAAUCUAACUUUUCUAAGGCUGAGUUAGAACCUACAACAACAACCAAGCUAACCUAAACUUGAUUAAUCCCCUUAGAGUGCCUUGCACACUCUAAGCAAUCAAGGAAUACAAAUAUGAAGAUGUACCUAAGAUCACUAACCUGAUCUGAUUGGUACAAGAUGAGGUGCUAAACUCUAUUACAAAGAUUGGAGUGAAACAUAAGAAGAAUUGAAAGGAUUAUUGCUAUUUUUGAUCUCUUUUUGUUCUUGAAAGCAUCUCCUAAUCUUCUUAGCCAUUGGAGAUGUCCUUUAUACUUGAAAAAUCAACUAUGAUGGAUGUUGAUUGUGUGAGACCUUGACCUUUAUAGACUCGUAGAUAGAAAUAUACGCGAUAUCCCUAAUUAGGAGUAAUUUCAUCAUUUUCUCAAUAAGGCCAUAAAAGUAAGUUUUAAACAAUAUUAUGGCUUAAGUAGGCCUAAAGUAUAAAUGAAUGAUGAAAAUAUGGGUGAAAUGACAAGGAAAUAAAAAUUUUGAUGAUUUUCAUGUUUUAAGGGAAAAACAGUAAUUUUGUCACCCGAGGACAAAAUGGAAAUUUUUAGAAUUUUACACCACUUGACACUUGUCAUGCCCAUGGAUUUCAGCCAUUAACAUUUUACAUUAUGGAUAAUUGAAACAUUUUAUGUGGUGGAGAGAGAUUGCUUAAUGGAUAAGUAUGACAUAUGGACCAAUGGAAACAUGCCAUGUGUCAAGCUUGGAUUAUUCUAGAAUUUCCUUGUAAAAUCUAUUUAAAACUCUCUUAGUUUUACCCAUAUGGCUGGCCAAAGCAUGAAGUGAAGAGGAAAGGAAAGAACACAAACCCUAGGUGGGAAAAUUGAAGAAAAAGUGUGGGAUUUCGAGGAUUAAGCUAAUUUAUGGAGGGGCAUUUUAGUAAUUUCUAAGGGAGCGGAUAAGCUUGGGCCAUAAAUAUUCUCUCCUUCUAGCAACUUCUUGGGAUUUUUAAUAGCUUUUUCUUCCUGUUCUCUUCCCUCUCACGUUUUUUCAAUUCUUCCAUGGAAGCUUGAUGUGAAGCUUUCAUAACUUUCUCUCUCUAGUUCUAAUUUUCAUACCUUGGUGCCUUUUUCACUAGAACCCUUGUAUUCUUCCACUCUCUCACUUUAAAACCCUUGAAAAUGAUGAAAAUCUUGUUUCCAUAAUCUCUCACUAGUUAGGUGUUUUAAGGAGAGAAAGAGGAAGCUUUAUUAAUAGCUUGAGAGCUUUUGGAAAGAAGUUCAAAGUUACAAAGCUAUCAAGGUGAGUAGUAAANNNNNNNNNNNNNNNNNNNNNNNNNNNNNNNNNNNNNNNNNNNNNNNNNNNNNNNNNNNNNNNNNNNNNNNNNNNNNNNNNNNNNNNNNNNNNNNNNNNNNNNNNNNNNNNNNNNNNNNNNNNNNNNNNNNNNNNNNNNNNNNNNNNNNNNNNNNNNNNNNNNNNNNNNNNNNNNNNNNNNNNNNNNNNNNNNNNNNNNNNNNNNNNNNNNNNNNNNNNNNNNNNNNNNNNNNNNNNNNNNNNNNNNNNNNNNNNNNNNNNNNNNNNNNNNNNNNNNNNNNNNNNNNNNNNNNNNNNNNNNNNNNNNNNNNNNNNNNNNNNNNNNNNNNNNNNNNNNNNNNNNNNNNNNNNNNNNNNNNNNNNNNNNNNNNNNNNNNNNNNNNNNNNNNNNNNNNNNNNNNNNNNNNNNNNNNNNNNNNNNNNNNNNNNNNNNNNNNNNNNNNNNNNNNNNNNNNNNNNNNNNNNNNNNNNNNNNNNNNNNNNNNNNNNNNNNNNNNNNNNNNNNNNNNNNNNNNNNNNNNNNNNNNNNNNNNNNNNNNNNNNNNNNNNNNNNNNNNNNNNNNNNNNNNNNNNNNNNNNNNNNNNNNNNNNNNNNNNNNNNNNNNNNNNNNNNNNNNNNNNNNNNNNNNNNNNNNNNNNNNNNNNNNNNNNNNNNNNNNNNNNNNNNNNNNNNNNNNNNNNNNNNNNNNNNNNNNNNNNNNNNNNNNNNNNNNNNNNNNNNNNNNNNNNNNNNNNNNNNNNNNNNNNNNNNNNNNNNNNNNNNNNNNNNNNNNNNNNNNNNNNNNNNNNNNNNNNNNNNNNNNNNNNNNNNNNNNNNNNNNNNNNNNNNNNNNNNNNNNNNNNNNNNNNNNNNNNNNNNNNNNNNNNNNNNNNNNNNNNNNNNNNNNNNNNNNNNNNNNNNNNNNNNNNNNNNNNNNNNNNNNNUUUUAAGUGAUUUACUCAUGAGGGGUUUACAUGAGGGGUUCUACUAAGAACUAGAACAAAUUGCAUUGUUUUGAGAAAAUGAGUGCAUCAUGAUUUCGAUAAACAUUCCUUAUGGUAUGCUUGUUCCCUUCUUGUUCACUCACUGAGUUUAUGCUCACUGCUUUCAACUUCAUGUUUUCAGAUUAAGAGACAGCCGGUAACUAGGACGAGGUGUCCUUGUGGGCUUGUAUCCAUCUUUUGGUAGGUGUCUCGGCAUUCAGUAGCUGUACAUUCAUUCGAGUCUCUUUGCUGGACAUCGAGUCUCCUUUUGUUGUGUAUAGACGAACCUAAUGUGAAUUAUUAAGAUACAUGUGUAGACAAUGUAUAUACACUUGUUUGGUAUGCUAGUAUGAAAUGGCAAUGCUUAAUAUUAUUUUGAUUCUAAGUUAUGAUAUAUGACUUAGUAGUUUAUGAUGGAAUGAUGAACAUGUCAGAUUAAUAGGCUUGCUUGGGCUUAGUGGACUACAUCCAUUGGGCCCAUGCACCGGUCAUGACCCAGAAUUUGGGUCGUGACAAUGUUGGUAUCAGAGCUCUAGGUUUGUCUAUGUCCUGGGACUUCCAUUUGUUGGUCCAGCAGAGUGUCAGGUUUUUAUGUGGAAACUUCGAUUGUGAAGUGUGAACUGCGGCACAUUUUACGACCAAGGGACCGCAUAGAUUCCCUAUCUUAGAAACCACCUUUUUCCUUGAGUAUGAUUAUGAAAUGUGUUUAGUAACAGAUGUUUGCUCUUGUCUAGGUAAUAAUGCCACCUAAGACACGAGCUACCUCAAGAUGGAUGAGGGAACAAGAUGAUCCUACUAAGAUGGCAGGUAGGCCACGGGCAUCCACCCUAAGGGGCCGAGGUAAACGUGGCAGGGCCACUAGGCCGGUGAGAGUGGAUGCGCUUAUGAGUAGGCGAGAGGAGGGACAGUCCUCAAGUGAUGUAGAUAGACACCCAACUGGGGGUAUUACCAUUGAGGAUUUGGCAGCAGGCCUAUAGGGAGUUAAUCGAGUUAUAGAGAUGAUGGCGAUCCGUAUGGAAGAUAUACAGAGGGUAGUAGAGGGGAGACCUACAGUGCAAGAAUCCCCUAGCUCUCAAGGACAAGCUGACCGCCAAUAUCAUGAGGUUGAGAGGGGUCACUUAGAGGUUUCUCUUCCUAAUUUUCUUAGGCUUAAGCCUCCAUCAUUUUCAGGGUCCGAUGCGUUGGAAAAGCCCCAAAUCUUUUUAGAUAAAAUGGAGAAAAUAUGUAAGGCUUUAGGAUGCUCUAGUGUCCGAUCAGUCGAGCUAGCCACCUUUCGAUUAGAGGAUGUGGCACAAGAGUGGUAUAGUUCUCUCUGUAGAGGCAGACUGAUGGAUGCAGCACCAUUGACUUAGGGUGAGUUUAGUGCAGCCUUUUUAGACUGAUUCUUACCACUUAGUGUACGUAAUGCACGAACUAGGGAGUUUGAGACUUUGGUGCGACAUCAAGUUCACGUAGUUGUCUCGGUAUGCUCCCUACCUAGUUUCCAUUGAGAAGAUGAAGAUUCAGAGGUUUAUGGAUGGGUUAGUAGAGCCACUGUUUAGGGCUAUGGCAUCCCGAGAUUUUAAAACCUACUCCGCAACGGUAGAUUGUGCUUAACAUAUUGAAAUGAGGAUCAGUGAGAGUAGGGUUACGAGGGAUAGAGUAAAAAGGGCCAAAGCAGAAGGUUAUCAAGGCCGUAGAGAUUUCAGCAGUGAUGGUUCAUCUUUUAGCCGUCAGGGUCUACAGAGGGACUCACGAUUUCCCCAGUAAGGGAGUGACUCGCCUAGUGCUAGUAUUACGGCGGGACAAAUAACCUUCAGUGUUGGAAGGCAGCAAGAUACGAGGCAAGGAAGUCAACUUAUCCUUCCUUGCCAUACUUGUGGGGGACGACAUAGAGGAAGAUGCCUUUACGCUACGGGAGUUUGUUUCAGGUGUGGUCAACUUGGGCAUAUUAUGAAGGAUUGUAUGAUGGCUCAUCAAUCACAAUAUUCUGCUCGUGGUUCCACCCAGCCAGCUUCGUUUGCUCCUUCAGUCGCCGUCUGAUAGGGAAGCUAGUGGAUCCAGAGGUAAAGGUGUUGGUACUUCCUCUCAGGUCAGGCCAUCUAGGUCCGAACGUCAGAGUUCUGUUGGUAGAGGCCAGGCGAGGGUGUUUGCUUUAACACAGCAAGAGGCCCAGACAUCCAAUGCAGUGGUCUCAGGUAUUCUCUUAGUUUGCAAUAUGAAUGCUCGAGUCUUAUUUGAUCCUGGUGCUACCCACUCUUUUAUCUCUCCUUGUUUUGCAUCUCGGUUGGGUAGAGAUCGUGUUAGGAGAGAGGAACAAUUAGUGGUGUCUACUCCUUUAAAGGAAGUAUUUGUAGCCGAACGGGAAUAUGAGUCUUGUGUAGUGCGAGUCAAGGACAAUGAUACUUUGGUGAAUCUAGUGGUGUUAGACACCUUAGACUUUGAUGUGAUCUUGGGGAUGGAUUGGUUAUCACCUUGCCAUGCUAGUGUGGACUGCUAUCAUAAAUUGGUUAGAUUUGAUUCCCGACACUAGACCUAUAUCCAUACCCCCAUAUAGAACGGCACCUGUAGAGCUUAAAGAGCUUAAGGAUCAGUUAGAAGAUUUGCUCGAUAAAGGCUUUAUCUGACCUAGCAUCUCACCAUGGGGAGUCUGGCACAUAUUGCUACAGAUAGGAGAUCCUUGGUUAGGGAGAUCCAUCGCUUGGGAGAUAUAGGUGUGCAUUUAGAAGUUGUUGAAACAAAUGCAUUGCUAGCACAUUUUAGAGUGAGGCCUAUUUUAAUCGACAGGAUUAAAGAAACACAAGGUAAAGAUGAGUUUGUAGUUAAGGCCUUAGAGGAUCCUCAAGGAAGAAAAGGAAAAAUGUUUACCAAAGGCACAGAUGGAGUGAAGACGUAACAUGGGAGGCCAAUGAGGAUAUGAGGACAAAAUAUCCCCACCUUCAUGUUGCAUAGAGGUAAGUCACCUUAUAAUUGAAUUUAAAUUCAGGGACCUAAUUUCUUUAAGUGGGAGAGAAUGUGAGACCUUAACCUUUAUAGACUCCUAGAUAGAAAUAUACGCGAUAUCCUUAAUCAGGGGUAAUUUCAUCAUUUUCUCAAUAAGCCCAUAAAAGUAAGUUUUAAACAAUAUUAUGGCUUAAAAAGGCCUAAAGCAUAAAUGAAUGAUGAAAAUAUGGGUGAAAUGACAAGGAAAUAAAAAUUUUGAUGAUUUUCAUGUUUUAGGGGCAAAAUGGUAAUUUUGUCACCCGAGGACAAAAUGGGAAUUUUUGGAAUUUUACACCACCUGACACUUGUCAUGCCCAUGGAUUUCAGCCAUUAACAUUUUACAUUGUGGAUAAUUAAAACAUUUUAUGUGGUGGAGAGAGAUUGCUUAAUGGAUAAGUAUUACACAUGGACCAAUGGAAACAUACCAUGUGUCAAGCUUGGAUUAUUCUAGAAUUUCCUUGUAAAAUCUACUUAAAACUCUCUUAGUUUUACCCAUAUGGCUGGCCAAAGCAUGAAGUGAAGAGGAAAGGAAAGAACACAAACCCUAGGUGGGAAAAUUGAAGAAAAAAUGUGGGAUUUCAGUGAUUAAGCUAAUUUAUGGAGGGGCAUUUUAGUAAUUUCAAAAGGAGUGGAUAAGCUUGGGCCAUAAAUAUCCUCUCCUUCUAGCAACUUCUUGGGAUUUCUAGCAGUUUUUCUUCUUGUUCUCUUCCCUUUCACGUUUCUUCAAUUCUUCCAUGGAAGCUUGAUGUGAAGCUUUCAUAACUUUCUCUCUCUAGUUUUAAUUUUCAUACCUUGGUGCCCUUUUGACUAGAACCCUUGUAUUCUUCCACUCUCUCACUUUAAAACCCUUGAAAAUGAUGAAAAUCUUGUUUCCAUAAUCUCUCACUAGUUAGGUGUUUUAGAGAGAGAAAGAGGAAGCUUUAUUAAUAGCUUGAGAGCUUUUGGAAAGAAGUUCAAAGUUACAAAGCUAUCAAGGUGAGUAGUAAACUAGUAUUGGGUUUUAAGUGUUGAGAAUGACUAGAGAUUUGAUUUGUGAAUAUUUUGUAGUUGAGAUUGUUAAUUCACUUUGGAGUGAUAGGAAAGUGAAAAUGGAUGGCCAUUUAAAUGGCAAUUGAAAGCUAGC
RNAcentral lists this long non-coding RNA (26258 nucleotides) under Theobroma cacao (cacao). RNAcentral describes it as "long non-coding RNA (TCAC_LNC002319)". Lineage: Eukaryota; Viridiplantae; Streptophyta; Magnoliopsida; Malvales; Malvaceae. The record is from RNAcentral.